UACGUAGGGUGCGAGCGUUAAUCGGAAUUACUGGGCGUAAAGCGUGCGCAGGCGGUUUUGUAAGCCAGAUGUGAAAUCCCCGGGCUUAACCCGGGAAUGGCAUUUGGGACUGCAAGGCUUGAGUGCGGCAGAGGAGACUGGAAUUCCUGGUGUAGCAGUGAAAUGCGUAGAUAUCAGGAGGAACACCAAUAGCGAAGGCAGCUCGCUGGGACGGUACUGACGCUGAGACGCGAAAGCGUGGGGAGCAAACAGG
This 253-nucleotide ribosomal RNA is filed under the name uncultured bacterium. RNAcentral describes it as "partial 16S ribosomal RNA". It matches the Rfam family "Bacterial small subunit ribosomal RNA", at positions 524 to 776 of the family's 1533-position model. The record is from RNAcentral.